GAUGAACGCUGGCGGCGUGCCUAAUACAUGCAAGUCGAGCGAACAGACGAGGAGCUUGCUCCUCUGACGUUAGCGGCGGACGGGUGAGUAACACGUGGAUAACCUACCUAUAAGACUGGGAUAACUUCGGGAAACCGGAGCUAAUACCGGAUAAUAUAUUGAACCGCAUGGUUCAAUAGUGAAAGACGGUUUUGCUGUCACUUAUAGAUGGAUCCGCGCCGCAUUAGCUAGUUGGUAAGGUAACGGCUUACCAAGGCAACGAUGCGUAGCCGACCUGAGAGGGUGGUCCGCCAACCUGGAAACGAGGCACGGUCCCGGCUUCUAAGGGAGGGAACAGUAGGGGAACCUUCGGAAUUGGCCAAAGGCUGACGGAGCAACGCCGCGUGAGUGAUGAAGGUCUUCGGAUCGUAAAACUCUGUUAUUAGGGAAGAACAAAUGUGUAAGUAACUAUGCACGUCUUGACGGUACCUAAUCAGAAAGCCACGGCUAACUACGUG
RNAcentral lists this ribosomal RNA (497 nucleotides) under uncultured bacterium. RNAcentral describes it as "partial 16S ribosomal RNA". It matches the Rfam family "Bacterial small subunit ribosomal RNA", at positions 28 to 507 of the family's 1533-position model. The record is from RNAcentral.